AGAGUUUGAUCCUGGCUCAUAUUGAACGCUGGCGGCAGGCCUAACACAUGCAAGUCGAGCGGAUGAUGGGAGCUUGCUCCCGGAUUCAGCGGCGGACGGGUGAGUAAUGCCUAGGAAUCUGCCUGGUAGUGGGGGACAACGUUUCGAAAGGAACGCUAAUACCGCAUACGUCCUACGGGAGAAAGCAGGGGACCUUCGGGCCUUGCGCUAUCAGAUGAGCCUAGGUCGGAUUAGCUAGUUGGUGGGGUAAAGGCCUACCAAGGCGACGAUCCGUAACUGGUCUGAGAGGAUGAUCAGUCACACUGGAACUGAGACACGGUCCAGACUCCUACGGGAGGCAGCAGUGGGGAAUAUUGGACAAUGGGCGAAAGCCUGAUCCAGCCAUGCCGCGUGUGUGAAGAAGGUCUUCGGAUUGUAAAGCACUUUAAGUUGGGAGGAAGGGCAGUAAGUUAAUACCUUGCUGUNUUGACGUUACCAACAGAAUAAGCACCGGCUAACUUCGUGCCAGCAGCCGCGGUAAUA
RNAcentral lists this ribosomal RNA (522 nucleotides) under uncultured bacterium. RNAcentral describes it as "bacterial SSU rRNA". It matches the Rfam family "Bacterial small subunit ribosomal RNA", at positions 8 to 525 of the family's 1533-position model. The record is from RNAcentral.